AUGGUGGUGUGUUAUAAGUACCUUAUUUAAAAAGAGAUAAUAUAUCAAAAGAAACCGACUGUUCCUAGAGCAGAUGGUAAUGGACUUGAUAGUUGGUAUCCGAGAUCCCAAGUUCAAAUUUUAGUUAAUUCACAUUUACAAUUAAAUUUAUUUCUAAAUAAAAUAAACGAAACAAAAAAAAUGAAAAUAAUAUAUCGAAAGAGACCAACUCCUACCACUGUUUUAUUCUGCGAGUCCGACUAAGACUAGUGCUAUUAGAAAUAUUUUACUAUAAUUUUUAUUUUUCUUGUUUUACUAAUUUUACAGCAAGAAUCAAAAAUUAUUAUUAUUAUUAUUAUUAUUAUUACAAUAAAUAGGCCCCAAAAGUCAUAAUUUUUGGUGUGACGCUGUUGACUGGGCAAAUGGCUGGUUUGACUCAUUUAAAGCUUCUACAUACGAGCUCAUUGAAUAGUGUUCCCACGAGCCACUGCUCCAUGUCAGAUCUGUGUACAAUUCCAUUGGCUUUUUGUUCAUAAAGUGAUCGUACAAGUGCAGCAGAAUUUUCUUCGUUUGGGAGUAAUCAGAUUUGGUUUGGCAUGUGAUUAGAAUUUGAUGCCCAAAAUAGACAAAAGGGCAUUUACAAAAGGAGUAGUUGAUUCGAUGUUGUCUUAGUUUGGAUUUGAUGCUUAAACAUAUUUUAUUCUACA
Molecule: long non-coding RNA, 686 nt
Filed under: Ananas comosus (pineapple)
Lineage: Eukaryota; Viridiplantae; Streptophyta; Magnoliopsida; Poales; Bromeliaceae
Description: long non-coding RNA (ACOM_LNC011498)
Source: RNAcentral